Molecule: long non-coding RNA, 2294 nt
Filed under: Vitis vinifera (wine grape)
Lineage: Eukaryota; Viridiplantae; Streptophyta; Magnoliopsida; Vitales; Vitaceae
Description: long non-coding RNA (VVIN_LNC000497)
Source: RNAcentral
UCCAUACCCAUGCCCCUCACCCAUCUCAGCAGUAUCGUCGGCUAUAUGUUAUCACCGACGGUGAGGUCAACGAUCCACACAGUCUCUCUCUUUCUCUCCAUUUUUCCCCUCUUUCUUUCUUUCUCUCUCUCGCCUUCCCAUCUUCACCGUGUCAUCCUUCAUCGUCUGCUACACCAACCACCAUCAACCAAGCCCCAUUUCCACCAUCCCACUAUGGCGACCCUUAUUGCCAUCAUUCUUGUUGCCCAUCAUUGACAGCCACUUAUCACCACCCAUAUUAGCUUCACCACACCUCCUUUCCAUUCGCCACCUAUGGUCGUCAUUCUCAUGUUCGCACGACUACCAUCAUUACUCAUCAUCCCUCUUCCUUUCACAGGCUUCCACCACCGCACCUCAACACACUGCCACCAACUAUGUAUUUUCUUGUGGAGAAGCAACAAGAAAAAAGAACUAAUAAAGUGAGAGCUUUGAAUAUCCUAUUCUUUGAAUUUGUUCUUUUAGUUUGUUAUUUUCUAAGAUUUCACAAUAUUCAUGUAUUGGUGAAUUUUACUCUAUUAUCUUCUGUAUUAUCUUUCACUUUAUCUUUCCCCUUUUUACUCUCUUUGAUUGUAGAAAAACUAAGGAAGAUAACUGUAUAAAAAAAAUUAAUAAUAAAUAAAAAAUCUUGGAAUAUCCCAUUUUAGAAUUUUUUUUCCCCGCUCUUUUCUAACAUUUUAUCGUAAGCUAGCAAAAUGUUUAUUUGGUUCACAAUCUUGAAACUUGAAAUUAAUAUUCAAUUUCAUUUUUAUGUUUCAAAUUAAGUUUAUAGGCAUCAAUGGUUACUGCAAUUAUGUGUCUCAUUUUUGUUGUGCCAAAAAUAAUGUGAUAUCUAAUGAGUUCUUUUUUAAACUUUUGUUUUCAUUUUUUGCUAGUAAAGGCUAAUGUUUCAUUUUCUUUAUAUUGAUUUCUAUGUUGAUCUAUAAUAUUUGGAUGUGUUAAUUGAAAUAAUUAUGAGUAGAUUGCCUUUAACUUUUAUCUCUACUAUUUCCUUUACAAGUGUACAGGGAUACCAUUAGAUUUUUAAUUCAAUUUGAAGAAACAAAACUAUAUAUUUGGGCACACAAAAACAAUUUGCAUAAUGUGAUAUGGUUUUCUCUUUAAUAUGGUUAAUUAUUUAAUUUUAUUUAUUUAUGCACUUGAAUUUUUUACUUGGGUUCCUUUGGUUUGGUUCUUUCCCUUUGUUUUUUUCCUCUCUUUUUAGGGCUAAAUUUUAAUGUUUUGAUUCAUGAUUGUUUGAAACUCUUUCUUUAGUUAAAUAUUUAUAUGCUAUUUGAUUAAUAAGCAAUAAAUCAACCCUCACAAAAUUUUAAUUUUUUGUUUCAUAGUCACAAGCCAACUAAAAUUGUUUCUAUAAUCCUUAAUUAAUUGAUUAAUUAAAUUUCAAAAUUUACAGAUUUAAGCUCUCAACUAGAUAGCUUGUGCAUUUAUUAAUUCUUGAAAUAAAGACAAAAUUUGCACACAAAAUAUCUAUUACCCAAUUAGAAUUGAAGAAGAAUGUCCUUGAUUUUUUAUUUUGUUAAGUUUAGAUGCAUUUGGUGCAUGAAAUUAAUAGUGAGUAUGAUUUCUAUGAAUUUGAAUUUAGAUAUUUCAUUAUUUAUGAUUGAGAUAAUUAAAAUUUCUGCUCAACUUUAAUUUCAAUUAUUUCUUGGAUAAUGUGAGUUUUUAUCUAUUUAAAAACCAAAAUAACAUGAAAGAUAUAUUUGGAACUUUCUUUUUCUCUUUUCCUUUUUGCAUUCCUUUUAGAAACUAAAAAGAAGUAUAUUUUUAUAGUUAUUUAGGUCCAUAAUAUAAAAAGCACAAUAAUUAAACUUAGAAUUCAUUCUUAAAAAUAUUUAAUUGUAGUUAGAUAUCUAAUUUCUCAAUUUGAGUUUUCUUUUUGUUAACAUGGUUUGUUUUUUCUAUCAUAGGUUUGAGAUAGAGGUAUUGGCAAUUUUGGGGUCUUGUUAGAGGGUAGUGCUUGAAGAUUAAUGCUAGAAAUAUGAUAUCUAUAAAUUGCAUAUAUGUUUGAUGUAUUCUUGUAAUUGAAAGUACCUUAUAAUUUGAAAAUGGCUAUUUUGAUACAUGUUACUUACUUUUCUAUUAAUGUUGUGUCUAUCCUAUUAGGUAUCUAAGAAAUAUAGCAAAAGAAGAAGAAAAUGAUGGAGAAUUAGAGACCCUCUUACAAGAUAGUAUUGUACUUUUUAAUUUAAUUUUGUAUAUUAUCUUAAUUGAAUGUUUGUAAUUAAUUUUUUUUUAUAUAUAUAGUAACUAGAGAG